Molecule: ribosomal RNA, 573 nt
Filed under: Peptostreptococcus stomatis
Lineage: Bacteria; Bacillati; Bacillota; Clostridia; Peptostreptococcales; Peptostreptococcaceae
Description: bacterial SSU rRNA
Rfam family: Bacterial small subunit ribosomal RNA
Source: RNAcentral
AAGCCUGAUGCAGCAACGCCGCGUGAACGAUGAAGGUGCUUCGGAUGCGUAAAGUUCUGUGUGCAGGGGAAGAUAAUGACGGUACCCUGUGAGGAAGCCCCGGCUAACUACGUGCCAGCAGCCGCGGUAAUACGUAGGGGGCUAGCGUUAUCCGGAUUUACUGGGCGUAAAGGGUGCGUAGGUGGUCCUUCAAGUCGGUGGUUAAAGGCUACGGCUCAACCGUAGUAAGCCGCCGAAACUGGAGGACUUGAGUGCAGGAGAGGAAAGUGGAAUUCCCAGUGUAGCGGUGAAAUGCGUAGAUAUUGGGAGGAACACCAGUAGCGAAGGCGGCUUUCUGGACUGCAACUGACACUGAGGCACGAAAGCGUGGGUAGCAAACAGGAUUAGAUACCCUGGUAGUCCACGCUGUGAACGAUGAGUACUAGGUGUCGGGGGUUACCCCCCUCGGUGCCGCAGCUAACGCAUUAAGUACUCCGCCUGGGGAGUACGCACGCAAGUGUGAAACUCAAAGGAAUUGACGGGGACCCGCACAAGUAGCGGAGCAUGUGGUUUAAUUCGAAGCAAGCGAAGAAC